AAAUUGAAGAGUUUGAUCAUGGCUCAGGUUGAACGCUGGCGGCAGGCCUAACACAUGCAAGUCGAACGGUAACAGGAAGCAGCUUGCUGCUUCGCUGACGAGUGGCGGACGGGUGAGUAAUGUCUGGGAAACUGCCUGAUGGAGGGGGAUAACUACUGGAAACGGUAGCUAAUACCGCAUAACGUCGCAAGACCAAAGGGGGGGACCUUCGGGCCUCUUGCCAUCGGAUGUGCCCAGAUGGGAUUAGCUUGUUGGUGGGGUAACGGCUCACC
RNAcentral lists this ribosomal RNA (272 nucleotides) under Escherichia coli. RNAcentral's name for it is "partial 16S ribosomal RNA". It matches the Rfam family "Bacterial small subunit ribosomal RNA", at positions 1 to 269 of the family's 1533-position model. Lineage: Bacteria; Pseudomonadati; Pseudomonadota; Gammaproteobacteria; Enterobacterales; Enterobacteriaceae. The record is from RNAcentral.